AUACGGGGGGUGCAAGCGUUAAUCGGAAUUACUGGGCGUAAAGCGCGCGUAGGCGGUUUGCUCAGUCGGAUGUGAAAGCCCAGUGCUCAACCUUGGAACUGCAUACGAUACUGGCAAACUAGAGUGUGAGAGAGGAUAGUGGAAUUUCCGGUGUAGCGGUGAAAUGCGUAGAUAUCGGAAGGAACAUCAGUGGCGAAGGCGACUGUCUGGCUCAACACUGACGCUGAGGUGCGAAAGCGUGGGUAGCAAACAGGAUUAGAUACCCGAGUAGUCC
This 274-nucleotide ribosomal RNA is filed under the name uncultured bacterium. RNAcentral describes it as "partial 16S ribosomal RNA". It matches the Rfam family "Bacterial small subunit ribosomal RNA", at positions 523 to 796 of the family's 1533-position model. The record is from RNAcentral.